RNAcentral lists this ribosomal RNA (365 nucleotides) under uncultured eukaryote. Its description in RNAcentral is "partial 18S ribosomal RNA". It matches the Rfam family "Eukaryotic small subunit ribosomal RNA", at positions 592 to 976 of the family's 1831-position model. The record is from RNAcentral.
CAAAAGCGUAUAUUAAAGUUGUUGCAGUUAAAAAGCUCGUAGUUGAACCUUGGGCUUGGCUGGCCGGUCCAUCUUUUUUGAUGCGUACUGGACCCAGCCGAGCCUUUCCUUCUGGCUAGCCUUUUUGGCGAACCAGGACUUUUACUUUGAAAAAAUUAGAGUGUUCAAAGCAGGCCUUUGCUCGAAUAUAUUAGCAUGGAAUAAUAGAAUAGGACGUUAUGGUUCUAUUUUGUUGGUUUCUAGGACCAUCGUAAUGAUUAAUAGGGACGGUCGGGGGUAUCAGUAUUCAGUAGUCAGAGGUGAAAUUCUUGGAUUUACUGAAGACUAACUACUGCGAAAGCAUUUACCAAGGACGUUUUCAUUAA